This 71-nucleotide transfer RNA is filed under the name Marmota monax (woodchuck). RNAcentral's name for it is "tRNA.Ala". Lineage: Eukaryota; Metazoa; Chordata; Mammalia; Rodentia; Sciuridae. The record is from RNAcentral.
GGGGUUGUGGCUCAAUGGUGGAGCGCUCGCCUAGCACGUGCAAGGCCCUGGAUUCGAUCGUCAGCACCACA